GUCGAGGGGCAGCAUGGUCUUAGCUUGCUAAGGCCGAUGGCGACCGGCGCACGGGUGAGUAACACGUAUCCAACCUGCCGUCUACUCUUGGACAGCCUUCUGAAAGGAAGAUUAAUACAAGAUGGCAUCAUGAGUCCGCAUGUUCACAUGAUUAAAGGUAUUCCGGUAGACGAUGGGGAUGCGUUCCAUUAGAUAGUAGGCGGGGUAACGGCCCACCUAGUCUUCGAUGGAUAGGGGUUCUGAGAGGAAGGUCCCCCACAUUGGAACUGAGACACGGUCCAAACUCCUACGGGAGGCAGCAGUGAGGAAUAUUGGUCAAUGGGCGAGAGCCUGAACCAGCCAAGUAGCGUGAAGGAUGACUGCCCUAUGGGUUGUAAACUUCUUUUAUAAAGGAAUAAAGUCGGGUAUGGAUACCCGUUUGCAUGUACUUUAUGAAUAAGGAUCGGCUAACUCCGUGCCAGCAGCCGCGGUAAUACGGAGGAUCCGAGCGUUAUCCGGAUUUAUUGGGUUUAAAGGGAGCGUAGAUGGAUGUUUAAGUCAGUUGUGAAAGUUUGCGGCUCAACCGUAAAAUUGCAGUUGAUACUGGAUAUCUUGAGUGCAGUUGAGGCAGGCGGAAUUCGUGGUGUAGCGGUGAAAUGCUUAGAUAUCACGAAGAACUCCGAUUGCGAANGCAGCCUGCUAAGCUGCAACUGA
This 693-nucleotide ribosomal RNA is filed under the name uncultured bacterium. Its description in RNAcentral is "bacterial SSU rRNA". It matches the Rfam family "Bacterial small subunit ribosomal RNA", at positions 61 to 743 of the family's 1533-position model. The record is from RNAcentral.